Molecule: ribosomal RNA, 253 nt
Filed under: uncultured bacterium
Lineage: Bacteria
Description: partial 16S ribosomal RNA
Rfam family: Bacterial small subunit ribosomal RNA
Source: RNAcentral
UACGUAGGGGGCUAGCGUUGUCCGGAAUCAUUGGGCGUAAAGCGCGCGUAGGCGGCCAGAUAAGUCCGGUGUGAAAGUCACAGGCUCAACCUGUGAAUGCCGCUGGAAACUGUCUGGCUAGAGUCCGGAAGGGGCGAGUGGAAUUCCUGGUGUAGCGGUGAAAUUCGUAGAUAUCGGGAGGAAUACCAGUGGCGAAGGCGGCGACCUGGGCCAAUACUGACGCUGAGGUGCGAAAGCGUGGGGAGCAAACAGG